GACGAACGCUGGCGGCGUGCUUAACACAUGCCAGUCGAACGGAAAGGCCCUGCUUUUGUGGGGUGCUCGAGUGGCGAACGGGUGAGUAACACGUGAGUAACCUGCCCUUGACUUUGGGAUAACUUCAGGAAACUGGGGCUAAUACCGGAUAGGAGCUCCUGCUGCAUGGUGGGGGUUGGAAAGUUUCGGCGGUUGGGGAUGGACUCGCGGCUUAUCAGCUUGUUGGUGGGGUAGUGGCUUACCAAGGCUUUGACGGGUAGCCGGCCUGAGAGGGUGACCGGCCACAUUGGGAUGGAGAGACGGCCCGGACUCGGCCGGGGGGAGGGAGGGGGAAUUUUGGAAGAGGGGGCGGAGGCCUGAGGAAGCAACGCCGGGGGGGGGAGGGGGGCCGUGGGUUUUAAACCCGUUUCCGCUGGUGACGAGGGGGGGGUGCGGUUAAUGGGUAAAGAAGCACCGGCAAACUACGUC
This 468-nucleotide ribosomal RNA is filed under the name uncultured bacterium. Its description in RNAcentral is "partial 16S ribosomal RNA". It matches the Rfam family "Bacterial small subunit ribosomal RNA", at positions 28 to 507 of the family's 1533-position model. The record is from RNAcentral.